Molecule: ribosomal RNA, 895 nt
Filed under: Camarosporium quaternatum
Lineage: Eukaryota; Fungi; Ascomycota; Dothideomycetes; Pleosporales
Description: eukaryotic LSU rRNA
Rfam family: Eukaryotic large subunit ribosomal RNA
Source: RNAcentral
AGGAAAAGAAACCAACAGGGAUUGCCCUAGUAACGGCGAGUGAAGCGGCAACAGCUCAAAUUUGAAAUCUGGCUCUUUUAGGGUCCGAGUUGUAAUUUGCAGAGGGCGCUUUGGCGGUGGCAGCGGUUCAAGUUCCUUGGAACAGGACGUCACAGAGGGUGAGAAUCCCGUACGUGGUCGCUAACCAUUGCCGUGUAAAGCCCCUUCGACGAGUCGAGUUGUUUGGGAAUGCAGCUCUAAAUGGGAGGUAAAUUUCUUCUAAAGCUAAAUACUGGCCAGAGACCGAUAGCGCACAAGUAGAGUGAUCGAAAGAUGAAAAGCACUUUGGAAAGAGAGUCAAAUAGCACGUGAAAUUGUUGAAAGGGAAGCGCUUGCAGCCAGACUUGCCUGUAGUUGCUCAUCCGGGCUUUUGCCCGGUGCACUCUUCUGCGGGCAGGCCAGCAUCAGUUUGGGCGGCUAGAUAAAGAUCUCCAUCACGUACCUCUCUUCGGGGAGGCCUUAUAGGGGAGAUGUAAUGUAGCCAGCCUGGACUGAGGUCCGCGCAUUUUGCUAGGAUGCUGGCGUAAUGGCUGUAAGCGGCCCGUCUUGAAACACGGACCAAGGAGUCUAACAUCUAUGCGAGUGUUUGGGUGUCAAGCCCGAGCGCGCAAUGAAAGUGAACGGAGGUGGGAACCCUUUUCUGGGUGCACCAUCGACCGAUCCUGAUGUCUUCGGAUGGAUUUGAGUAAGAGCAUGGCUGUUGGGACCCGAAAGAUGGUGAACUAUGCUUGAAUAGGGUGAAGCCAGAGGAAACUCUGGUGGAGGCUCGCAGCGGUUCUGACGUGCAAAUCGAUCGUCAAAUUUGGGCAUAGGGGCGAAAGACUAAUCGAACUAUCUAGUAGCUGGUUCCUGCCGA